RNAcentral lists this ribosomal RNA (434 nucleotides) under uncultured bacterium. RNAcentral describes it as "partial 16S ribosomal RNA". It matches the Rfam family "Bacterial small subunit ribosomal RNA", at positions 29 to 507 of the family's 1533-position model. The record is from RNAcentral.
AGCGAACGCUGGCGGCAGGCCUAACACAUGCAAGUCGAACGAACCUUUCGGGGUUAGUGGCGGACGGGUGAGUAACACGUGGGAACGUGCCUUUAGGUUCGGAAUAACUCAGGGAAACUUGUGCUAAUACCGAAUGUGCCCUUCGGGGGAAAGAUUAAUCGCCUUUAGAGCGGCCCGCGUCUGAUUAGCUAGUUGGUUGAGGUAAUGGCUCACCAAGGCGACGAUCAGUAGCUGGUCUGAGAGGAUGAUCAGCAACAUUGGGACUGAGACACGGCCCAAACUCCUACGCGAGGCAGCAGUGGGGAAUCUUGCGCAAUGGGCGAAAGCAUGACGCAGCCAUGCCGCGUGAAUGCUGUAGGUCUUAGGAUUGUAAAAUUCUUUCACCGGGGACGGUAAUGACGGUACCCGGAGAAGAAGCCCCGGCUAACUUCGUG